GUGCCCACUUCGGCAGCACCUAUACUAAAAUUGGAACAAUACAGAGAAGAUUAGCAUUGCCCUUGUGCAAGAAUGACAUGCAAAUUUGUGAAGCAUUUCAUAUUUUU
Small nuclear RNA from Prolemur simus (greater bamboo lemur), 107 nucleotides. Lineage: Eukaryota; Metazoa; Chordata; Mammalia; Primates; Lemuridae. The record is from Ensembl.